This 414-nucleotide unclassified non-coding RNA is filed under the name Trichoderma sp. TAMA 230. Its description in RNAcentral is "partial contains 18S rRNA, ITS1, 5.8S rRNA, ITS2 and 28S RNA". The stretch from base 129 to 282 matches the Rfam family "5.8S ribosomal RNA". The record is from RNAcentral. Lineage: Eukaryota; Fungi; Ascomycota; Sordariomycetes; Hypocreales; Hypocreaceae.
GGUCACGCCCCGGGUGCGUCGCAGCCCCGGAACCAGGCGCCCGCCGGAGGGACCAACCAAACUCUUUCUGUAGUCCCCUCGCGGACGUUAUUUCUUACAGCUCUGAGCAAAAAUUCAAAAUGAAUCAAAACUUUCAACAACGGAUCUCUUGGUUCUGGCAUCGAUGAAGAACGCAGCGAAAUGCGAUAAGUAAUGUGAAUUGCAGAAUUCAGUGAAUCAUCGAAUCUUUGAACGCACAUUGCGCCCGCCAGUAUUCUGGCGGGCAUGCCUGUCCGAGCGUCAUUUCAACCCUCGAACCCCUCCGGGGGGUCGGCGUUGGGGAUCGGGAACCCCUAAGACGGGAUCCCGGCCCCGAAAUACAGUGGCGGUCUCGCCGCAGCCUCUCCUGCGCAGUAGUUUGCACAACUCGCACCG